RNAcentral lists this ribosomal RNA (429 nucleotides) under Rhipicephalus microplus (southern cattle tick). RNAcentral describes it as "partial 16S ribosomal RNA". The stretch from base 283 to 429 matches the Rfam family "Bacterial large subunit ribosomal RNA", at positions 2473 to 2620 of the family's 2925-position model. The record is from RNAcentral. Lineage: Eukaryota; Metazoa; Arthropoda; Arachnida; Ixodida; Ixodidae.
GGGUUUUUUUUGCUUACAAGGUAUUGAAUAAGGUUUUAAUUGAAUGCUAAAAGAAUGGAAUAUCAAAGAAUAACUUUCUUAAAAUUAAAAAUUGAAAUUUUUUUAAUUUGUGUAAAAACAAUUAUAUAAAUUAAAGACAAGAAGACCCUAAGAAUUUUUAAAAUUUAAAUUAACACAUUUUUGUUUUAAUUAAAUUUUAACUGGGGCGGUUAAAAAAUAUUAAAAACUUUUUAAUUUUGAAAAUGAUCCAUUAUUAAUGAAAAUAUGAUAAAAUACUCUAGGGAUAACAGCGUUAUAUUUUUUGAUAGAUCAUAUUGACAAAAAAGUUUGCGACCUCGAUGUUGGAUUAGGAUACUUUUUUAAUGAAGAUAUUAAAAUAAGAAGUUUGUUCAACUUUUAAAUUCCUACAUGAUCUGAGNUUAGACCGAA